AUAGGUGUAGCUUAAUUGUAAAAGCGAUGGAUCGUUAUUCCAGAUGUUGUAGGUUCAGGUCCUACCGCCAAGU
This is a non-coding RNA of Thoreauomyces humboldtii, 73 nucleotides long. The record is from the annotation of a GenBank genome assembly. NCBI's taxonomy places the organism in Eukaryota, Fungi, Chytridiomycota, Chytridiomycetes, Spizellomycetales, Powellomycetaceae.